RNAcentral lists this ribosomal RNA (497 nucleotides) under uncultured bacterium. RNAcentral's name for it is "partial 16S ribosomal RNA". It matches the Rfam family "Bacterial small subunit ribosomal RNA", at positions 28 to 507 of the family's 1533-position model. The record is from RNAcentral.
GAUGAACGCUGGCGGCGUGCCUAAUACAUGCAAGUCGAGCGAACAGACGAGGAGCUUGCUCCUUCGACGUUAGCGGCGGACGGGUGAGUAACACGUAGGUAACCUACCUAUAAGACUGGGAUAACUUCGGGAAACCGGAGCUAAUACCGGAUAAUAUUUCGAACCGCAUGGUUCGAUAGUGAAAGAUGGCUUUGCUAUCACUUAUAGAUGGACCUGCGCCGUAUUAGCUAGUUGGUAAGGUAACGGCUUACCAAGGCAACGAUACGUAGCCGACCUGAGAGGGUGAUCGGCCACACUGGAACUGAGACACGGUCCAGACUCCUACGGGAGGCAGCAGUAGGGAAUCUUCCGCAAUGGGCGAAAGCCUGACGGAGCAACGCCGCGUGAGUGAUGAAGGUCUUCGGAUCGUAAAACUCUGUUAUUAGGGAAGAACAAACGUGUAAGUAACUGUGCACGUCUUGACGAUACCUAAUCAGAAAGCCACGGCUAACUACGUG